CGGCGUGCUUAACACAUGCAAGUCGAACGGGAUCUGCGUGGCCUUUGUGGUUGUGUGGUGAGAGUGGCGAACGGGUGAGUAACACGUGAGUAACCUGCCUUUUUCUUUGGGAUAACGCUCAGAAAUGGGUGCUAAUACUGGAUGUUCUGCGCUUUCCGCAUGGGGGGUGUGGGAAAGGGGCCUUUGUGGUUUCUGGAGGGAGAUGGGCUCGCGGCUUAUCAGCUUGUUGGUGGGGUGAUGGCUUACCAAGGCUUUGACGGGUAGCCGGCCUGAGAGGGUGGGCGGUCACAUUGGGACUGAGAUACGGCCCAGACUCCUACGGGAGGCAGCAGUGGGGAAUUUUGCACAAUGGGGGGAACCUUGAUGCAGCGACGCCGCGUGAGGGAUGGAGGCCUUCGGGUUGUGAACCUCUUUCGCUCGUGUGCAAGCCGCUAUUUGGGUAGUGGUGAGUGUAGCGGGUAAAGAAGCGCCGGCUAACUACGUGCCAGCAGCCGCGG
RNAcentral lists this ribosomal RNA (497 nucleotides) under Schaalia radingae. Its description in RNAcentral is "bacterial SSU rRNA". It matches the Rfam family "Bacterial small subunit ribosomal RNA", at positions 40 to 520 of the family's 1533-position model. The record is from RNAcentral. Lineage: Bacteria; Bacillati; Actinomycetota; Actinomycetes; Actinomycetales; Actinomycetaceae.